GGGCCGCCGAGUGACGGGCCAGCGCGACCAGCUCCUGCGGGGUGCGGGCCGAGGCCAGCUCCUCCGCCGGUUCCAGACCGGCGCGGCGCAC
RNAcentral lists this transfer RNA (91 nucleotides) under Streptomyces sp. MP131-18. RNAcentral describes it as "tRNA-Arg". The record is from RNAcentral. Lineage: Bacteria; Bacillati; Actinomycetota; Actinomycetes; Kitasatosporales; Streptomycetaceae.